This 322-nucleotide ribosomal RNA is filed under the name uncultured eukaryote. RNAcentral's name for it is "partial 18S ribosomal RNA". It matches the Rfam family "Eukaryotic small subunit ribosomal RNA", at positions 1470 to 1796 of the family's 1831-position model. The record is from RNAcentral.
CCCUUAGAUGUUCUGGGCCGCACGCGCGCUACACUGAUGCAUUCAACGAGCCUAUCCUUGACCGACAGGUCCGGGUAAUCUUUGAAUCUGCAUCGUGACGGGGAUAGAUUAUUGCAAUUAUUAAUCUUCAACGAGGAAUUCCUAGUAAACGCGAGUCAUCAGCUCGCAUUGAUUACGUCCCUGCCCUUUGUACACACCGCCCGUCGCACCUACCGAUUGAAUGUUUCGGUGAAGAUUCCGGAUAGGACUUUUUUGAUUUAUUUCAAUUUUGUCUUAAAAGCUAUCUAAACCUCAACAUUUAGAGGAAGGUGAAGCCGUAACA